AUUGAACGCUGGCGGCAGGCUUAACACAUUCAAGUCGAUCGAGCGGCGGACGGGUGAGUAAUGUCUGGGAAACUGCCUGAUGGAGGGGGAUAACUACUGUAAACUGUAGCUAAUACCGCAUACCAUCAGAUGUGCCCAGAUGGGAUUAGCUAGUGGGUGGGGUAAUGGCUCACCUAGGCGACGAUCCCUAGCUGGUCUGAGAGGAUGACCAGACACACUGGAACGGAGACACGGUCCAGACUAGUACGGGAGGCAGCAGUGGGGAAUAUUGCACAAUGGGCGAAAGCCUGAUGCAGCCAUGCCGCGUGUGUGAAGAAGGCCUUCGGGUUGUAAAGCACUGUCAGCGAGGAGGCGUUACUCGCAGAAGAAGCACCGGCUAACUACGUGCCAGCAGCCGCGGUAAUAC
Molecule: ribosomal RNA, 406 nt
Filed under: uncultured bacterium
Lineage: Bacteria
Description: partial 16S ribosomal RNA
Rfam family: Bacterial small subunit ribosomal RNA
Source: RNAcentral